RNAcentral lists this ribosomal RNA (380 nucleotides) under uncultured euryarchaeote. RNAcentral's name for it is "bacterial SSU rRNA". It matches the Rfam family "Archaeal small subunit ribosomal RNA", at positions 471 to 851 of the family's 1478-position model. Lineage: Archaea; Methanobacteriati; Methanobacteriota. The record is from RNAcentral.
UAAUACCGGCGCCUCAAGUGGUAGUCGCUUUUAUUGGGCCUAAAACGCCCGUAGCCGGUUUGGUACAUUCGUGGGUAAAUCAAGACGCUCAACGUCUUGAAUUCUGCGAGCACGGCCAGACUUGGGACCGGGUGAGGUGUGGGGUACUCUCAGGGUAGGGGUAAAAUCCUGUCAUCCUGAGAGGACCACCUGUUGCGAAGGCGCCACACUAGAACGGAUCCGACGGUCAGGGACGAAGCCUAGGGGCACGAACCGGAUUAGAUACCCGGGUAGUCCUAGGUGUAAACGCUGUGGACUUGAUGUUGGGAGUGCUCCGAGCGCCCUCAGUGUCGAAGCGAAGGUGAUAAGUCCACUGCCUGGGGAGUACGGUCGCAAGGCUG